Molecule: ribosomal RNA, 396 nt
Filed under: uncultured bacterium
Lineage: Bacteria
Description: bacterial SSU rRNA
Rfam family: Bacterial small subunit ribosomal RNA
Source: RNAcentral
AAUCAACGCUGGCGGCGUGCCUAACACAUGCAAGUCGAACGCGAAAGCCUCGCAAGGGGUGAGUAGAGUGGCAAACGGGUGAGUAACACGUGGGUGACCUGCCUUCGAGUGGGGGAUAACGUUCCGAAAGGAACGCUAAUACCGCAUAACAUGCUGCCUUUUAAGUAGGUGGACAGCAAAGCUGGGGACCGCAAGGCCUGGCGCUUGAAGAGGGGCCCGCGCCUGAUUAGCUAGNGGUGGGGUAAUGGCUCACCAAGGCAUCGAUCAGUAUCCGGCCUGAGAGGGCGGACGGACACACUGGGACUGAGACACGGCCCAGACUCCUACGGAGGCAGCAGUGGGAAUUGUUCGCAAUGGGCGCAAGCCUGACGACGCAACGCCGCGUGGAGGACGAAG